AGCAAUGUGGCUCAGUGGAAAGAGCCCGGGCUUGGGAGUCAGAAUUCAGGGGUUCGAAUUCCGUCUCUGCUA
Molecule: non-coding RNA, 72 nt
Organism: Ornithorhynchus anatinus (platypus)
Lineage: Eukaryota; Metazoa; Chordata; Mammalia; Monotremata; Ornithorhynchidae
Source: Rfam